CAGCAGCCGCGGGAAUACGUAGGUGGCAAGCGUUGUCCGGAAUUAUUGGGCGUAAAGCGCGCGCAGGCGGAUAGGUCAGUCUGUCUUAAAAGUUCGGAGCUCAACCCCGUGAUGGGAAAGAAACUACAUGUCUUGAGUACAGGAGAGGAAAGCGGAAUUCCCAGUGUAGCGGUGAAAUGCGUAGAUAUUGGGAGGAACACCAGUGGCGAAGGCGGCUUUCUGGACUGCAACUGACGCUGAGGCUCGAAAGCCAGGGGAGCGAACGGGAUUAGAUACCCGCGUAGUCCCUGUCUCUUAUACC
This 301-nucleotide ribosomal RNA is filed under the name uncultured bacterium. RNAcentral's name for it is "partial 16S ribosomal RNA". It matches the Rfam family "Bacterial small subunit ribosomal RNA", at positions 509 to 808 of the family's 1533-position model. The record is from RNAcentral.